This 921-nucleotide long non-coding RNA is filed under the name Fragaria vesca (wild strawberry). RNAcentral's name for it is "long non-coding RNA (FVES_LNC005389)". Lineage: Eukaryota; Viridiplantae; Streptophyta; Magnoliopsida; Rosales; Rosaceae. The record is from RNAcentral.
CUACAUGUAUUUGAAAUAUUUGAAUUGGAUAUCAAACUAAAUGAAAUUUGAGAGCAUUACACAUACCUUGAGAACUGACGAAUUGGAUAUCACCCCAAAGAAUCCAGAACCAAGAAUCAACAGUAGACACCGUAGUGACCACCAAACAGGACCUGAAAAAAGAUCACCAGAAGAAAACCUUAAUAUGUAAAAAGAUCAGAAAACACAGUAUCAAACUAUGGAAGUAACUAAUUAGUUAUCUAUUGCUACUAAAUGAAUGAAAGUCGGCCAGUCUUGCUUGUCUCGGCUUGCAACUCAGUUCCAACUAAAUCAUGUAAAUACCAUUAUAAUCAUACAUUCUAACAUUAACCGCCCCCUUUUGUCAGAUUAUAAUUUUGAUGCUACCAUUAUAUACAGUAAACCAAGAAGGAAAAAAAAGAAGAAAAAAUAACAUAAUAAUGCUGAUCUUUACACACACAUGCUACCAUUACCUCUUGUCUGAACAUCAAGGGUAAUGCUUGCACUACCGAGUCAAUUUAUUGAAGGCUCGUGAUGUGAAGGUGGAAACAAAGAACACAAACUUGCUCCAAUGCCAGCUGAAAUGUCCAACAAAAUAAGUGAAUUAUACAAGGGUAUCUGAGAAUUUGCAGGUUAAUUGAUAUUGAACAAAGGGGCUCCUUAGAGUUAGAAUGUAACUCAGUAAAUCAAUUCCAAACAUAGCAAAUUGGAACCUGAACUCUAUAACUAUCCUUUUACAACAAUUGAAAUACAAUAUGACCAUAAAGAAGUUUAGUAGUAUGUAUAUUGAGUCAUUCCCUUCAUCAGUUUUAAUCACUUAAUUACAUACAACAAAAUAGAACCCAUAGUAGUAGUACUAACCUGGACUCCUAUUCGCUUUUCAUCCCUCCUCUUUUUCCCAAAUCUAGACUUCUUGUUUUACCU